UUUAAUUGUUUAUUUAAAUCUUGUUUAAUUAACCUAUUAUUUAUUUUAUUUAAAUGAUUAUGAUUAACUUGUUGAUGGAUUCAAUAAUCCAAAUUAAUCACAGUUAAUUGUCAAUAAACUAAAUAAAUAAUUUGUAACGGGUAAUUGUAUAAUCUUCUUUCAUUAGUAUCAUAAACUUAGUAACAUGAUAGGUCUCAGCCAAAUUAGUGUAUAUAUGUGAGCCUACGUAUGUUAUUGAGCUUAGAUGCAUAUAGGAGUCCAUUUAAAUUUAAAAAUUCAAAUAGACUAGGUUGCUAAUAAUAAAAAUAUCACAUUGAUAAUUUUAUUUAAGUCCAAUUAGUAUUGGACUUAUUCAAUUAAUGACAAUUAUUUAUUUAAGUGAAAAUUAUACCAGAUAUGAAAUUCUAUAAAAAAAAAGUUUCAUAAAUAUGGUAUUUUUAACUUUACCACCCUUAUAUGGCAUUUGUUCAAGUUUAAAUUUUUUUAUGGUAUUUCAGUUGCCACCUUUUUUGUAAAUUUAAUUUUUAAAUCUUAUAUUUUAAGAUUGUGUAUUCAACCCAAUUUCUUAAGGGGUAAAUUAAUAAUUUUAAAUCUUUUUUUCAAUUCGAUUCUUAUGUUUUUUUAGAAAAAGUAAUUUUUAAGAUUAAAAUAGGAGUUAUCUUUUAUAGUCCGCAUGUAAAAGUACCUCUAUUUCUCCUUCACUAUUUUUAUUGUUCUCUUAGUUGAUAUAGCUUCAGGUAUAAUAUUUGCAUCCCCAUUUUAGGAUUUUUUUUUAUCUCUCUUAUUUUUCUCUACAUUUCUCUUCUAUAUACGCCUCCUUCAUCUUCUUUUUUCUCUUAUUUUUUGUUCUUCUUCUUGCUUGGUCUCGACACUAUUCUGAGGUCAUCAAUUGCAAGCCAUUCCAUUUUGGAUUGUGUUCUAGUUUUAAGGUGCUGUAAGGAAACUGGUUUCACAAGGUUCAUAAGUUCAAAACUAGUUUCACAGAUUUUAACGUCUAACUCCGGUGGCAACUCUAGCAUCAAACUCCAGUAACGGCGAUAACUCCGAUGACUUUGCAGUGAUUUUUUUUGGUGACGAUGCCACUUUUGACAACUUUUUGAGAACCAUCAGCAACUCCAGUGACUUUUUUUCACCGUUAACAAAUUCUGACAACUUUUUCGACACGACAGUAACUCUAACGACUGUGUUGGUGGUCAAGUCUUAGAGCUUCUAAGAAGCAUGUCAAAUUUAUGAGUUUUCGUCAAGGAAUCAGUUUUUUGAUUAUAUAGAAUUAAUUGACUUAUUCAUUUAUUUUUUUAAUAAAAUUAUUUGGGCUUU
Long non-coding RNA from Cannabis sativa, 1317 nucleotides. RefSeq lists it as uncharacterized. The record is from RefSeq and is a predicted model, not a curated record. The transcript is spliced from 3 exons. NCBI's taxonomy places the organism in Eukaryota, Viridiplantae, Streptophyta, Magnoliopsida, Rosales, Cannabaceae.